Vigna unguiculata (cowpea) is the source of this 396-nucleotide long non-coding RNA. RefSeq lists it as uncharacterized. NCBI's taxonomy places the organism in Eukaryota, Viridiplantae, Streptophyta, Magnoliopsida, Fabales, Fabaceae. The record is from RefSeq and is a predicted model, not a curated record.
GAAUCACUUCAAAAGGUAAAAGCAAAGAAAAUUUUGUAGAAGCCAACACUAUGACCAAGUUGCAAAGUAGUGUACUUAUUGUGUUGGCAUUGUUUGCCCUCUUCAGUCAAAUUUAUGGAGAAAUCCAUUUUUGUCCAAAAUCGAUGAAUUUUCCUGGCCAAUGUCCAAUGGGUACUUCAGGAAAAGGUUGCUCUGAAGAAUUUCAUGCAAGACUAGGAGCAGGUGCCAUGCCUCAGAAUUGCACAUGUAGUAAUGCUCCUAAUAACCAACGCCAAUGCACUUGUCAAGUUAAUUGUGGAUACUAAGACAUUUUCCUUAAUACAAUAAGUGUUGACCAAUCUUAUGUAACACAUUGAGAAUUUUAAGAAAUAUCUUCAAUUUGUUACCUCUCUUUCA